Molecule: ribosomal RNA, 2289 nt
Filed under: Triticum aestivum (bread wheat)
Lineage: Eukaryota; Viridiplantae; Streptophyta; Magnoliopsida; Poales; Poaceae
Description: partial small subunit ribosomal RNA
Source: RNAcentral
AUGGCACUGCAGAAACUCUUCCACAUCUCAGUUUUCCUGCUAGUAUGCGCAGCCAAGGCAAUCAACCCUGAAGCUGAAGCACUACUCCGAUGGAAGUCCACUUUGAUUGGUGCCAACCCGUUGCCCUCGUGGUCAAUUGCCAACUCUACGUGCUCUUGGUCUGGCGUCACCUGUGACGCUGCCGGACAUGUUACCAAGCUCCACCUUUCCGGCUUUGGGCUCCAUGGUACGCUACACGCCUUCUACUCUGCUGCGUACCAGAAUCUCAUCAAGAUCAAACUCAACAGCAAUAAUCUUGUUGGCACCAUCCCAGCAAACAUAUCCCUUUUGCCCACGCUCACCAUUUUGGACUUGAGCAACAACAAUCUUGUCGGUGCCAUCCCCUACCAACUCAGCAAGCUACCAAUAAUUGCUGAGGUUAAUCUGGGAAAUAACCAAUUGACUAACCUAGAAUAUGACAAGUUCUCGCCUAUGUUCAGCCUGAAGCUAUUAUCUCUAGCUAACAAUGAUCUCAGUGGAACCUUCCCACAAUUUAUCCUCAACUACACCAAUGUGAGGAUGCAAUUCCUUGAUUUGUCAGGUAAUGACUUCUCAGGGCUGUUACCAGAUUCACUGCCGGAAAUGGUCCCAAGGUUGAGGUAUCUAGAUCUGUCAGCUAAUGGAUUCUCUAGCUUGAUACCUCGCUCACUCUCGAGGCUCCAGAAGCUUGAGCUUCAGUUACUAGAGCAACUCAAUAUCAGAAAUGCUGGUUUGGUUUCUACUCUUCGACCCGAGCUGGGGAACCUUACUAAUCUCGAGCACUUGGACCUGGCACAUAACCAACUAUUUGGAAGUUUGCCACCAUCUUUGGCCAGGAUGCAAGCAAUGUCCUGGUUCAUUGUACAUGACAACUAUAUCGAUGGUACCAUCCCGGCAGAGCUGUUUUCAAACUUGACCAACCUCGCGGUAUUCGAUGUAGCCAAAAACUUGUUAGCUGGAAGCAUCCCAUCGCAGAUUGGUAACUGUAAAGAGAUAAUCACUCUCCUCCUUUCAAACAACAACUUUACUGGUUCCAUCCCAGUAGAGAUGGGCAGCUUGCCGAACUUGCAGUUUUUGGUCAUGUCAAAGAAUCACUUUACUGGAGUGAUACCAUCUCAUAUCGGCAAUGCAACAUCUUUGAAAUUCCUUGCCAUCAGAUCCAACCACCUUGACGGAGAGCUUCCUGCAACCAUGUCCGCGCUGAUAAAUCUUGUUGCUCUCAUCUUGUCUGGCAACAAGUUUACGGGUAUCAUACCUAAUAUUGACAACAGGCAGUUGCCGUCUGUCAAGGCGGCCAAAAAUAAAAACAACAGCAGCUUCAUGGGAGAAUUGCCAUCUGCCUUUUGUCAGUUAACACUUUUGCAACUCUUGGAUCUAUCAAACAAUCAGUUGUCUGGUGAGUUUCCUGGUUGCUUUUGGUACUUGAAAGAUUUGCAAUCCUUAGAUUUAUCGAGCAAUGCUUUUGCUGGUGAAAUUCCUACCUCAAGUUGUAAUUCUUCACUAAGGUCCCUGCACCUAUCAGACAACAACUUUACAGAAAGUUUCCUCAACUUAUCCUUCAUGAGGCAGGCACCCACGGUGCAGCCAGGUAUAAAAAUCAUCCUACAAUAUGCCACCUUUGGAUAUAUAUACAGUGGCACUAUGGUCGUAAUUUGGAAAGGACAGGAUUACAUUUUCCGGGGAAGAGAUGCAUUUGUGACAGGUAUUGAUCUCUCUGCCAAUUCUCUUUUUGGUGUUCUACCUCUGGAGUUGACAAAUCUUAGAGGCAUCCAGUUACUAAAUAUGUCAAGAAAUUGUCUAUCUGGUAGUAUUCCGAAGGAUAUCGGCAGCCUAAAGUUUUUAGAAUCUCUUGACCUCUCUUGGAACAAGAUAUCAGGUCCUAUUCCUUCUAGCAUAUCAAACCUGAUAUUCCUCAGUUCCCUUAAUCUCUCGAACAAUCUUCUAUCGGGACGGAUACCUACAGGGAAUCAACUCCAAACAUUGGAUGACCCGUCAAUUUAUAGCAAUAACCUGGGACUUUGUGGCUCUCUAUUGAACAUUUCAUGUAAACAUGGUUCAAGUCCAACGACCACAUCGGAUGUGGGAAAGGAAUAUCAUGAUGAACUUGAAACCAUGUGGAUGUACUACUCAGUGAUUGCUGGAACAAUAUUUGGUUUCUGGAUAUGGUUUGGCACAUUGUUUUUCUGGAAGCCCUGGAGAUGUGCUUUCUUGAGUUGCAUAGAUGCCAUGCAACAGAAAGUUAUGAGGAAGAUGAAGCAUAUCCGAGAGUAG